This 4137-nucleotide long non-coding RNA is filed under the name Sus scrofa (pig). Its description in RNAcentral is "lncRNA (ENSSSCG00025046569.1)". Lineage: Eukaryota; Metazoa; Chordata; Mammalia; Artiodactyla; Suidae. The record is from RNAcentral.
AUAGGUAGAAGCUGUAGCUUGGAUUCAGUCCCUUCCCAGGAACUUCCAUAUGCACAGGUGUGGCCAUUAAAAAAAAAAAAAAAAGAAUUCAGUUCUCAAGUUCAGAAUGCUAGCAUCUCCUUCGGACAGCUUAAACCAUUGAAUUUUGUCAUUCGUAUCAAUAUCCCGACAAAUAUGCCUUCUCCAACAGGCCAGCUGACUUCAUCAAGCCAGCAAGGAAGAGAGUCAAUGGAGAGAGAAAGCCUGCCAACAAGAUGGAAUUUACAAUUGAAUGUAACACAAUCAUGUAAGUUUUCUUCAAUCAAGUCUAUUUAAAGAAAAAGAACAGAGGAAAACAACAGCCAAGUUGGAGGGUGGGAAGCGUGUUCCAGCAAAUAGGAACAACACUGAAGAAAGUUCUCCAACAGAUAAUGCUUUAAGAGCCGGACUUGAACAAAUCUUCAACCAGCCAUCUCGGCAACAAAAGACCAGGGUAACCUGGUAAGAGAACUAAGCCUUCCAUAUAAAAACAAAGAUAAAAUAGUUCAGCAGCCAAGAUUCGACAUCUUUAAAAAUGCCUUUUCAAUCUUUUACUUUUGUCUGCUUGGUUGUCUAGCAACCGAGUGCCGAAAAGAAACUCCACCCAAAACAAAGUGAAACAAUGCAGACACUUAGCUUCAUGAGUGUGUGUGCGUGUGCGUGUGUGUGUGUGUGUGUGUGCACGCGCGCAUCUCAAGAUUCUCAGCGUGCAGAGAUAGAAACUCGCUUUCAGACAAUUAAAACAGAAAAAGUCCUUAUUGUAGAUUUGUAGAUGGCAGGAAAGGAAGUUGGGAGUGAGUAAAAAGCAACUUAAAAAUGCGUAAUGUAGGAUGAGGGUAUAGUUUCCACACACCGGGCUAAAGCAAGGUUUACACUCUUAAGUAAUAAAAACAAACCAUUAAGCUCAGCCCAGCACUGUCAGGAAGUAUAAAACAGUUCUUGAAACUUUGCAGUUACUAUACAAAAGCUUUUCAUAAACUCUGCUUCCUGAUCUUCAUUAAACGCUCACAUCCAGUUGCCAUGGGGCAAUUAGCUUGCCUCCUGAAAUCAAUAAAAAAUCAACAAUUUGGAAAUAGUUGUACAGUAAAAUAGUUCAAUAAUUAUUCUCUCAUAGCGUUGUGGCCAAGCAGUUCCAGUGUAAAUGCAGACCAGAUGAGGGAAGCUUUAAGCAAGGACCGGUUUGCAGAGAGAUCUCCUCAUCAGGAAGGCAGUGAGAAUGCCGCCCUGGCACCGCGUUCAAGUCAGUGUCUGGCCCCCGCUCACACACCUCAGAGGGACGUGGAGACCCACAUGAAAUGACAGAUCCAACGGAUGCAAGAUUAGGCACACUACACUCAGCAUGUGGACCCUAGACAAGAACAAAGCAAAAAAUUUUCCCUGGGGUAUAUAUAUGUGUGUGCAUAUAUAUAUAUUUAUAUAUGCAUAUAUAUAUGUACAUAUCUCCAAGAGAAAAAAAGUGUGUAUAUGUAUAUGUGUAUGAUAUAGACAUACUAUAUAUAUGUCUAUAUUAUAUAUGCUUUAAAUAUUAUAUACUUUAAAUAUUACAUAUAUACCAUAUAUAAUAUAGACAUUUGUCUAUACUACACACACAUAAAAUAAUAUAUGUCUAUUUAUAUAUGAGGAAUGUAUUUGAGAUUAGGGAUUCAUUCAUUUCAGCAUUUCUUUGACAAAUAUUCAAAUGAGUUGCUUGUAAGAAACUUCCAAAAUGUUCCCCUAAAAAGUAAAAUGAGGCUACCAAACAGAUGACCUUCCCAGGACAAUUUGCAAAAAAAGAGGUGCCAAGACAAACAUUUCUUUGCUGACCCCUUUUGCAGGGGCAAAGAAAUUCCUUUUGCUUUUUCUAGCCAGAGCCCAUUCACUCUGGCACCGAAUUCCAAGCCAGCUGCAGAAUCACAAACUCCAAUAUCCAUUAAAUCAAACCUCAACCACGAAACUGGGAAGUUUUCUAUCACCCUCUAGGCUCAAUAGCGCUGUACAGUGAACUGUCUCAGCACUUACGAAAAAAUUGAGCAUCUUUUUUAGUAUAAACAAAUGCCUCAAAUGUAUGACAUCUAUUUGCUGCCUUCAAAGGGAAAACUUAACUCAGACGCUUGGCACUAAGAUCACACGGGAUCAACUCCAUGGACUGACUUUUUAAAAGUAUGUUAAGGGCUUGCACCUGCUCCCCCAUCCACAUAGAUGUACUGACACGUAUUUGACUAAACUGACUACAUACAUGCCCAAGCAAGCAAGCGGAGCUGAUUUUACAAGAUAAGCAACCAAGUGUUUUCAUGUCUGAGGGUGGCAAGAACACAAAAUUGCCAGUCAUCUUGUGGGGGAAAAGAAUGCCUUUGAAAAAAUAUGUAGGGCAUCUUUUCAGAUAAAAUGUAGCCAUCCGCAUGCCAUCCCGCCUAUAGGUGUUGUUUUGUUUUGUUUUCCUUUAAGUGCUACUUCUUCGGGGCCUAAACUUGGUCCACCGUUUUCUGCUGGAUUGAGAAGAUAAUUAUUAGAGCCUUGCUACUCAGCCUGUAAGACCUCAGGCCAGUGGUACAUUCAGCCACACCUGGGAGCAGGUUCGAAAUGCAGAAUCUCAGGCCCCACCCCAGACUCACGGAAGCAGAACCUAUAUUAGAGCAUGAUCCCCAGGGUCUGUAUACACAUUAACAUUGCAUUUUCCUGGAGGCAGGACUGGUGCUUUGUACUAAUAUUAAAAUCUGAGAAGUUUUAUUUAGAGCACUGGUUCUGCCCCCGCCCCUCCCCCAAGUUAGAUAGAAGUUCACUUUGAAGUUUGUGGGGCAGAGAGAUGGUCAGAAAACUGUUGCCCUGGAGUAUACCGUAAGGCUGUAAUUUAUGUCAGUGGAGGGCAGGCAAGAGGAAAAGCAAUUUACCUGAGUGAAGCAGACCUGCAUUUAUCCCCAUCUCACCCUACCUGGCCCCUGCGAUUGUCUAUCCAUGUCAUACUUUAUCGAUACUUAAAUUGUUCUCUACUGCAAGGCUCUGUUCUUUUUGCCUUACCACAGAUUAGGGGGCUGUGGUAGCUGACAUUCUGUGAACCAGUAUCUUAACAUUUAAUGUAACUCUAGAGUAGAAAUAGACCACUUAAAAAAAAUCAUUUGCUUUGACUUGCGCAAAUGAUUUUUCCACCUCCCAUAAAAAUUUAAGGCAAAGAUACGGAAGACUUACUAGAUGUAAGUCUAGAUCUAGUACCUGAUCAUGACGCAGGUCAGACUGAUAGACCAUCUCUCUGCUCUUGGCCUCUUGAGGUACAAUUUCAAAUAGCAACUGGAGUAGAAAUUAUGAAAAAAAAAAAGGGAAGCACAGAUGAAUCUGUAAACCACUCAUCUUCCAUCUCCCCAAUUUUGAAGGCCAAAAAAGAGCAAUCUGGACCUGCCAUACAGGUUAAAACCAUGCCAGGGAGGCACACACAGCCCAGACAAGCACAAAACCAGAUGACAUAAUUUAAUCAGUUUUGAAAGGUGAUCCCCCCAAAUUCAGAAAUUCACUACAUUAAAAAAAAAAAUCCCACUCCAAAAUUAUUCAAAGAUGCCUACAGAACAGUGACUGAAGAUUCAAGAUCUGUAGUGUCAUGUGUCAUGGGAUUAGUCAUGACACCUUUUGUUUUUUCCUCAGAAUUAAGAUUGUGAGCCAAAAUGUUUAAGAAUGUAAAAUACAUGUAAGAAUAUUCUGCUUCUCAAGUAAAUUGCCAAGAAGGUUAGAGUCCUCAACUAUUACAAAAUCCCUGAAACUAAACUGAAAAUGUCAACAUCUAUCUUUGUAAUACAUAAUACAUAUAUCUUCAUAUGUAUAUUUAUAUAUUACAUAUUAUAUCUACAUUUACACAAAUUUUUGUGUAUAUAUUUAUAUUCAAAUGCAUUUAUAUAUUUGUAUAUAUUUACAUAUACUUAUAUUUUUAUAUAUCACAUGUCUAUAUAUACUUGUACAUAUAAAUAUUUCACACAAAAGAACACAUUUGAGAACCAUUUUAACGAAGAAAAUCAGAACCAAUGAAGCAGAGAGGUCAAAAAGAGGAAUGCAACUGCCCAGUGUAUGGAAUUUCUUGUGCUGUACUUUUACACUCUCAUGAGUUACUUGGAGAUGAGAAAACAUGGACUACUAUUUUUUUAGGAUGCUAAGACUGAG